RNAcentral lists this signal recognition particle RNA (300 nucleotides) under Caenorhabditis remanei. RNAcentral's name for it is "Metazoan signal recognition particle RNA". It matches the Rfam family "Metazoan signal recognition particle RNA". Rfam says of the family: The signal recognition particle (SRP) is a universally conserved ribonucleoprotein. Lineage: Eukaryota; Metazoa; Nematoda; Chromadorea; Rhabditida; Rhabditidae. The record is from Rfam by way of RNAcentral.
ACCGGGCGUCGUGGCGGGCGUCUGUGAGUCAGCUUCUUGACGGUAGAUAAGUGUGGAUGGAGUGAAGGGAGGAGUCCUGUGGGUGUUGUCGGCAACGGCGACCGAGCGUCCGCGCCAAGCGCCACGUCGCCAGGGGUCACUCGUCGGAAGACGUUGGUGGUCCCGGGCGCAUAAGGAGUGGUGCACGGCUCAGGGCCGAAAGGCAGCAGGCAAAAGCCACCGCGCGGUGCAGUGGCCGGAUAGCGCUUGUGAGUUGUCGCUCGCCCACAGCCUUCCUGAUACCUUCAGACCGCUUGUCAU